This 1473-nucleotide ribosomal RNA is filed under the name uncultured bacterium. Its description in RNAcentral is "bacterial SSU rRNA". It matches the Rfam family "Bacterial small subunit ribosomal RNA". The record is from RNAcentral.
GAGUUUGAUCCUGGCUCAGGAUGAACGCUAGCGGCAGGCUUAACACAUGCAAGUCGAGGGGUAGAUAUCUUCGGAUAUUGAGACCGGCGCACGGGUGCGUAACGCGUAUGCAAUCUACCUUAUACAGGGGGAUAGCCCAGAGAAAUUUGGAUUAAUACCCCAUAGUAUAGUCGAAUGGCAUCAUUUGACUAUUAAAGUUCCAACGGUAUAAGAUGAGCAUGCGUCCCAUUAGCUAGUUGGUGUGGUAACGGCACACCAAGGCUACGAUGGGUAGGGGUCCUGAGAGGGAGAUCCCCCACACUGGUACUGAGACACGGACCAGACUCCUACGGGAGGCAGCAGUGAGGAAUAUUGGUCAAUGGGCGCAAGCCUGAACCAGCCAUGCCGCGUGCAGGAUGACGGUCCUAUGGAUUGUAAACUGCUUUUGUACAGGAAGAAACACUCCCUCGUGAGGGAGCUUGACGGUACUGUAAGAAUAAGGAUCGGCUAACUCCGUGCCAGCAGCCGCGGUAAUACGGGAGGAUCCAAGCGUUAUCCGGAAUCAUUGGGUUUAAAGGGUCCGUAGGCGGUUUUAUAAGUCAGUGGUGAAAUCUGGUCGCUCAACGAUCAAACGGCCAUUGAUACUGUAAGACUUGAAUUACUUGGAAGUAACUAGAAUAUGUAGUGUAGCGGUGAAUGCUUAGAGAUUACAUGGAAUACCAAUUGCGAAGGCAGGUUACUACAAGUGGAUUGACGCUGAUGGACGAAAGCGUGGGGAGCGAACAGGAUUAGAAUACCUGGUAGUCACGCCGUAAACGAUGGAUACUAGCUGUUCGGUGCAAACUGAGUGGCUAAGCGAAAGUGAUAAGUAUCCCACCUGGGGAGUACGCUCGCAAGAGUGAAACUCAAAGGAAUUGACGGGGGCCCGCACAAGCGGAGGAGCAUGUGGUUUAAUUCGAUGAUACGCGAGGAACCUUACCAAGGCUUAAAUGGGAAACGACAGGUUUGGAAACAGACUUUUCUUCGGACGUUUUUCAAGGUGCUGCAUGGUUGUCGUCAGCUCGUGCCGUGAGGUGUCAGGUUAAGUCCUAUAACGAGCGCAACCCCUGUUGUUAGUUGCCAGCGAGUCAUGUCGGGAACUCUAACAAGACUGCCAGUGCAAACUGUGAGGAAGGUGGGGAUGACGUCAAAUCAUCACGGCCCUUACGCCUUGGGCUACACACGUGCUACAAUGGACGGUACAGAGAGCAGCCACUACGCAAGUAGGAGCGAAUCUACAAAACCGUUCUCAGUUCGGAUCGGAGUCUGCAACUCGACUCCGUGAAGCUGGAUUCGCUAGUAAUCGCAGAUCAGCCAUGCUGCGGUGAAUACGUUCCCGGGCCUUGUACACACCGCCCGUCAAGCCAUGGAAGCUGGGGGUACCUGAAGUCGGUGACCGCAAGGAGCUGCCUAGGGUAAAACUGGUAACUAGGGCUAAGUCGUAACAAGGUAACC